GGGUGUUUAGUUUAUAAAAAACAAAUGUUUUGAAAACAUUUAAAGGAAAAAAUAUUUUCCAACUCCUG
RNAcentral lists this transfer RNA (68 nucleotides) under Cherax cartalacoolah. Its description in RNAcentral is "tRNA-Ser". The record is from RNAcentral. Lineage: Eukaryota; Metazoa; Arthropoda; Malacostraca; Decapoda; Parastacidae.